GAACUUAAGCAUAUCAAUAAGCGGAGGAAAAGAAACCAACAGGGAUUGCCCCAGUAACGGCGAGUGAAGCGGCAACAGCUCAAAUUUGAAAUCUGGCCCCUCCGGGUCCGAGUUGUAAUUUGUAGAGGAUGCUUUUGGUGAGGUGCCGCCCGAAUUCCCUGGAACGGGACGCCGCAGAGGGUGAGAGCCCCGUCUGGCUGGCCACCGAGCCUCUGUAAAGCUCCUUCGACGAGUCGAGUAGUUUGGGAAUGCUGCUCAAAAUGGGAGGUAUAUGUCUUCUAAAGCUAAAUAUUGGCCAGAGACCGAUAGCGCACAAGUAGAGUGAUCGAAAGAUGAAAAGCACCUUGAAAAGAGGGUUAAACAGUACGUGAAAUUGUUGAAAGGGAAGCGCUUGUGACCAGACUUGGGCGCGGCGGAUCAUCCGGGGUUCUCCCCGGUGCACUUCGCCGCGUCCAGGCCAGCAUCAGUUCGUCGCGGGGGAAAAAGGCUUCGGGAACGUGGCUCCUCCGGGAGUGUUAUAGCCCGUUGCAUAAUACCCUGCGGUGGACUGAGGACCGCGCAUCUGCAAGGAUGCUGGCGUAAUGGUCACCAGCGACCCGUCUUGAAACACGGACCAAGGAGUCGUCUUCGUAUGCGAGUGUUCGGGUGUCAAACCCCUACGCGUAAUGAAAGUGAACGCAGGUGAGAGCUUCGGCGCAUCAUCGACCGAUCCUGAUGUUCUCGGAUGGAUUUGAGUAAGAGCAUACGGGGCCGGACCCGAAA
RNAcentral lists this ribosomal RNA (762 nucleotides) under uncultured fungus. RNAcentral describes it as "eukaryotic LSU rRNA". It matches the Rfam family "Eukaryotic large subunit ribosomal RNA", at positions 30 to 821 of the family's 3401-position model. The record is from RNAcentral. Lineage: Eukaryota; Fungi.